This 499-nucleotide ribosomal RNA is filed under the name uncultured bacterium. Its description in RNAcentral is "partial 16S ribosomal RNA". It matches the Rfam family "Bacterial small subunit ribosomal RNA", at positions 28 to 507 of the family's 1533-position model. The record is from RNAcentral.
GACGAACGCUGGCGGCGUGCCUAAUACAUGCAAGUCGAGCGAAGUUUUUCUGGUGCUUGCACUCGAAAAACUUAGCGGCGAACGGGUGAGUAACACGUAAAGAACCUGCCUCAUAGACUGGGACAACUAUUGGAAACGAUAGCUAAUACCGGAUAACAGUAUUUCUCGCAUGUGAGAUAUUUAAAAGUUGGUUAUGCUAACACUAUGAGAUGUCUUUGCGGUGCAUUAGCUAGUUGGUGGGGUAAAGGCCCACCAAGGCGACGAUGCAUAGCCGACCUGAGAGGGUGAUCGGCCACACUGGGACUGAGACACGGCCCAGACUCCUACGGGAGGCAGCAGUAGGGAAUCUUCCGCAAUGGGCGAAAGCCUGACGGAGCAACGCCGCGUGAGUGAAGAAGGAUUUCGGUUCGUAAAGCUCUGUUGUUAGGGAAGAAUGGAUAUGUAGUAACUAUACAUGUAAGAGACGGUACCUAACCAGAAAGCCACGGCUAACUACGUG